UCUUGUUUUCAGGGAAAGAUAUAAUGUUGAGAAAGUCCAAAGCAUUUCUGAUAGUCCCAUUAUUGGGGAGAUACAAGGAACAGGCUUGAUUCUCGGGACUGAGUUUGCUGACAAUAAAAUCACCUAAUGAUCCGUUCCCUCUGAAUGGGGCGUAGGUGCAUAUUUUGGAGCUGAGUGCGAGAAGCAAGGAACUCUAGUAACAGUUUCUGGGGAUAAUAUAAUUAUGACCCCGC
Telopea speciosissima is the source of this 233-nucleotide long non-coding RNA. RefSeq lists it as uncharacterized. Lineage: Eukaryota; Viridiplantae; Streptophyta; Magnoliopsida; Proteales; Proteaceae. The record is from RefSeq and is a predicted model, not a curated record. The transcript has 4 exons.